This 561-nucleotide ribosomal RNA is filed under the name uncultured fungus. Its description in RNAcentral is "eukaryotic LSU rRNA". The stretch from base 191 to 344 matches the Rfam family "5.8S ribosomal RNA". The record is from RNAcentral. Lineage: Eukaryota; Fungi.
AGUAAAAGUCGUAACAAGGUUUCCGUAGGUGAACCUGCGGAAGGAUCAUUACCUAGAGUUGUAGGCUUUGCCUGCUAUCUCUUACCCAUGUCUUUUGAGUACCUUCGUUUCCUCGGCGGGUCCGCCCGCCGAUUGGACAAUUUAAACCAUUUGCAGUUGCAAUCAGCGUCUGAAAAAACUUAAUAGUUACAACUUUCAACAACGGAUCUCUUGGUUCUGGCAUCGAUGAAGAACGCAGCGAAAUGCGAUAAGUAGUGUGAAUUGCAGAAUUCAGUGAAUCAUCGAAUCUUUGAACGCACAUUGCGCCCCUUGGUAUUCCAUGGGGCAUGCCUGUUCGAGCGUCAUUUGUACCUUCAAGCUUUGCUUGGUGUUGGGUGUUUGUCUCGCCUCUGCGUGUAGACUCGCCUCAAAACAAUUGGCAGCCGGCGUAUUGAUUUCGGAGCGCAGUACAUCUCGCGCUUUGCACUCAGAACGACGACGUCCAAAAGUACAUUUUUACACUCUUGACCUCGGAUCAGGUAGGGAUACCCGCUGAACUUAAGCAUAUCAAUAAGCGGAGGA